CUGCAUUUUAUAAUUUUUUAAGGACAUUUCAGUCACACAGAGUUUAUUCAACCAGCUGACCCACAUAUUUCCCAUCAAAUAAUACAGUCUACAUGUGGUGGACUACAUGUCUUUGUUUCAGUCGGCAGUCACGUCAUUCUCUAAUGUUUAUACCUGAUAAGACCAUCAGACUCUGAUAUAUCAAAUUGUAUAUUUUCCUGUUUUAUUUGGUAUUUUUCCUUGCAGCGUGUAUAAGGAUCACUGGACACAGAAUAUUAACCACCUGUAGAAUGCUGUUCACGUAUAUAUUGUGCUUCACAGACUGUAUUUCUGACACUCGCACAAUGUGGCUGAAUCCCACUGAAUAACACAAAGAGUCUGUGUGUCGAAGGUGAGAAAGGAUUUCGCUCUGAGAGAGACAAAGCAAACCCCUCAACACUCAGACACAAGUCCCGGCAUCGUGUACUUGAUAUUCAUCGUGUUUCUCUGGGAGCAUCUUGUUGAUGGAAUAUGGACGGCGCCCUGCAUGCUCUCCGCAGAGCCUACUGCCCCGACUCCGACAAGCAUCUCCCUUUUAUCUCGCCACGCUCCACGGGGAGGUCAAAGUUCACCAUCAGCAACAGAACAGCCACCCUGGAGCUGCAGGAGUCGUCCAGCUCCAGCAUCUCGCUGCUUGCGGAAAAGUUCAGCAGUGUGUGGACCCCAGAGCUUCACUUAUGAUCCGGUGUAUGUUCAUGUGCAUGUGUGUGCAAAUCAUUAGAGCGCUCGCCUAAUGAUGCUGCUUAUAAAGCAGGACGAAAUGAGGUGAAGAGCCCACUCACAGAUUUAGCGGCUGACGACAAAUGGAUGUGACCUUGGCAGACGUUAUGGAAAAGCGGUGAAGUCGUAGUGAGCGGUGUUGGAGCUGCAAGCAGUGCUGCUCACUCAUCACAUCCAGGUAUUGUUCACAGGCACUUAAAGGCAAAGAAGACUGUUAGUUUACAGCAGCGUCUGCUACUGUGCUUUACAAACGUUCAGCUCAUGAAUAACACCUCAUUUGAAUAUUCCCAGUGUAUUUCCAUGGAAACAGAUUUCAUACCACCAAAAAAAAAACAACAACAGUAAGGUGAUUACAUGCUUCAGCAUCCUAUAUAAAUUAAUAAGUACCCCGUCACAGAUGUAGUUCUAUGUACAUUUUGGCGCAUUAAUCACUUUGGGAACUGUAGAAGUCAUGAAAACCUCCCUUUUCCUCCAAAUAAGACCCUGUGAGACACAAGUCUUAUAAAUCUUUAUAGAUAGAGUCGUAUUGUGUGUCUCAUAUUCUGGCAGGAUGUAACUAAAAACCAGAAUUAAGAACAGUGUGUUCCCUUUUGCUUCCAGUUGAUUUUUUAAAAAACACUGUUUUGGCCAUUUUUUCAUUUAACUGCAGCACUUUUUAUUUGCUGAAUUACCAGCGGAUCAGCCAAAGAAAAUAUGAAUCCAAGUUUGUUUCCAGUGUUAUUUUCAGGAGCGUUAUAUUCUCCUCGUCGGUCCGCGUGAUGUUGUCCUCAGUGGAAGCUUUACUGAAGCAGUCACAUGGCUGUCUACCUACCGAGUCUGUUUUCAUUACAUUUCGGCUCAUUAUUCGUCACUUACCGAGCAAAAAAACCCUCUUUUUAUUUUUUGUUUGUGUUUAAUUUUGAUAUUUUUUAAUGGGCACUUAAAAAAAUUACCCAAACACAAAGAUGAAGACACAGUUUCUGUUUGCUGUGCACAGGAUGCUGCAGAUCUGAGGCAGCCUUGUUGUAGCAGGUUUUCUAAUUUUGCCUGCGUUUGAUUAAGACCGAGUCAGACUUAGAGGAAUAGUUUGACAUUUUGCAUUAAUUUGCGGUAGAAAAUGAGCGCUGGUGAGGAAAAUAAAAGCACCCCCGCGGCUUGAUGAAAUGCAAACCGUGAUGAUGUGCCUCUAAAUGUGGCAGUUUAUUGGAGAAAGGUUGGCAAAAUGAGGCCAUGUACAGACUGAAGGACGUGCCGAGGAAAGAGAAAGAGACACGUGGGCGACUAUCAAAGCCACAUAUACAGCGAGCUUAAUGUAUGUGUGUGUGCUCGCGUCUGUUUGUAUGCAUGAAUAAGCAAAUGGCAUGUGUUCACUUCCACCAGCUUGCUUGUGAAUGCCAAGACUCUUUUUUUUUUAAUGACCAAUAAUAAACGCCACGUAUGCACAAACACGAGUGUACAAUUUAUAAAAUCAAAUUGCUGGUUUAUCAAACUACAAUCACUUCCAGCGGUCUGAAGGACCGUGGGGACUGGGUUUCUUUUAUUCAGGAAAUGUGUACCGAGACAAGUCGCGGACUACUAAUGAAACAGUUACUGCAGAAAAGUGAACCGACCUCCAUCUGCAGGGAAACACAGAUUUAGAGGGCAGAUGUACAGAUGUGAUGGUUUCAGGCUCUGAAUGCAUCUGUCUACAAUAAUUCAUAUUAUUAAUAAAGCCGCCGCAGUCUGAUAAUCUCCAGCGCCGAGUGAAACAAGAACAGAACAGUUAAUCAAUCUGUUUUUUUUUUUCCAUAUGCAGCAUACAGCGAGCUAUUAGUCAUACUUGGAAAGUCAAGUUCCAGGAAGUGAAAGCAGAACCGCUUGAAGUUUGCGAAGAGAAAUUAAGGGACUUCUCUCCGAGCAGGAUCAGAAGCACACACACACAGAUAAGUUUGGUGAAGUAGAUCAAAAACAUCUCACUGAUCUUCAUCUGAGCGCUUUCACUUUGAACUGUUUUGUUUUGUUUUUGCUCUAUGUGGGAAGUUGCACCGCAGCAAAGCAGCGGCUGGAAGGAAACGAUCACGUUGUCCGUCCGUCCGUCUCUACGGGAGCUGCAGCCACCUCCACAAAAUCAGGCUCUGCUUCGUACAGCACAGCAGAACAAUCACUGGUUUAAUAAUCAGGUGCAAUGAUCAGCAGUUUCCAUGUUGUGGACACAUUAAAGUUCAUUUCAUGACUUGUUGACACUGCAGCUUUUCACAGUCGCUGCAGGCCAGAGGCCGGGAGAGGAGAGAGAAAACUCUCCACCAAACACAAAUCUCCAGAUGAUUGCCAGGAAAACAUCAAUACUCUUCUGUGUAUCAUGGAUUUGUGAGUCACUGUACACAGUAAACAUUCAGGUAGAUUGUUCACCUGCACUGUUGUAUUGUUUGAUUGGGUAUUCCUUUUAUUUUCUUAAUAAUGCUAAUAAUGCUUAAUGCUUCCUCGUGUUUUGUGACUGUAAUGACUCACUUUAAUCUGCACCGAUUUCAUCCCCCCGACAAAAUCUUCUGUCUUUAUGACUGAACACGUUUUCUAUCUUCUCUUCUCUUAUUUUUCUAAAUGUGGCACUUGAGGCAAUUUAGCACAUUUAAUAAAGAUUCUUGCGUGAUUUGGGGUUGUAUCCACACAAACAGAUGACCUUCUCAUAAAUACGCUUCUCUUAUAAUAAAACGUUCCUCGUGUUAUUGCCUUUCCUUCAUUAAGACUUCAUUUAUGUCUGAGCCACUUUUCCAAAUCUAAGCUGUGUCUGAAUUCAGGGUCUGCAUCCUUCGAAGGACUCGGCCUUUGCGGUCAUUGAAGGCGAGUCCUUCAGAGAGACCUUGUUAACCUCGUCAGCUGUUAAAUGUGACGGUCUAGCCUUUGGAGCAUUUCCUGGUUGCAUCACAAGAUGUUUUACCCUUACGUCACGAUUUCUGCCAUCCAGACCCGCGAAAGUGACGAUCUACGCCACGUGAUGUCGCCAUUUUCUUUCUUUCUUUCUUUCUUUCUUUCUUUCUUUCUUUCACUCUUCUUUUUCGGGCGCGCAAAGACUCUUGGGAUAUGUGAAGGAUAGUAGUGGUGCAUCCUCCAAAAACAGGGAAAAGAAGGAGCAUUUGGAGGAGCCUUCAAAUUGGGACGGCCUUCGUGCAGCGUUGUGACAUAAUUGGCCUUCAAAUGCUCCUCCGAAGGAAGCAGACCCUGAAUUGGGACACAGCCAUAGAGAUGACCUCUAAAUUUACAUAUUAACUACUUCUUUGGAAUAAAUCUUAUUUCAAAAGCAACUUUUUAGUACUCGAAUGGCCGUGAAAGAUCGGAUUGCUUCAGUUUAAACCUUCAGAAACACUUUCUAUGUGUCCAUAAUGCAAUAUAACACAUCAUGAAGAUACUUACGUAACCAUACGCCUGAUUGCCUGUAAGGUUGUAUAAUCGUAGUUAUAGGCACUUGUGAAUAUUCAAAAUGCUUUAAAGCAAUUGUCAUAACUCAUUAUGGCACUGAAACGUACUUAAAAUUAAU
Molecule: long non-coding RNA, 4228 nt
Filed under: Sparus aurata (gilthead seabream)
Lineage: Eukaryota; Metazoa; Chordata; Actinopteri; Spariformes; Sparidae
Description: lncRNA (ENSSAUG00010011137.1)
Source: RNAcentral